GUACAAUACCAGACAAUACCACACAGUGUGGUGAUUUAGGGGCAAGAUAAGGCAGUGGAAGAAAAGAGCCCCCGGAAUGAGAUGUGUAUGAGUGCUCCAUCUGCAUGGAUCCCUGCAUGCUAGAUGAGGGCAGCUGAGCCCAUUACAGGUGACUGUGAGCUAUUAUGUGGUUUGCUGGGAAUUGAACUCAGGACCUCUGGAAGAGUAGCCAGUGCUCUUAACCACUGAGCAGCUCUGCAGCCCCCAAGAUGAGAUAUUGAAGACUGUAUUUGUGUGUCACAGAAGAAUAAGAAGAUAGAGACACAUAAAGGACAAAGCUAGUGACUCUUAAGACACCAGCAUUCAUGAGGGUGUUGCUGUGGUCAUGGUGUCUCUUUACAGCAAUAAAACUCUAAGACAGAUGGGAAGGAAGCCAUGCCCUGCUUCCCUGAACCCAUGAGCAGGAGCCACCUGUCUCACUGCAGAAAGCCCAGCAUCUAAGGCCUUGGACAAAGCACAGCAGAGAACCAUGGUGCUCCUGUUGAGGCAACAAAUGACCUACCAGCACUUGGAGAAUCAACUAGAGGAAGACAGCUGACUCUGAGACAGCUUCCUUGCAGAGCCCUUCCCAGCACUUCAUCUAUGUGUUUUUUCUGUUGCUAAUUUUUCAGUGAAGUUGGAAUUUUACUCCCCUUCCCCCAUUCAGCUGUUUCUCCUAGAUGAGCUUGAGAUCAGCAUUCCAGCCUGCUUCUUACCUACACAUACACCUGGCCUUCCCUACUGUGAGGGAUGCUUUCCAGAGGCAGGAAGAGUGUUCCUCUCAGCCCCUGACUCCAAGAACAUGAUGCAAGGCCACUUGUCCCUACAGAUGGCUUUUUAAAUCAGCCUUUCCUAAACAACAACAACAACAACAACAAAAUGGAGCUCUAAGAAGAUAAAUUGGCAGUGGUAUCACUUGUGAUGUUGCUUGUUGACUGGGUUAUUUCAAACCAACCCCCCAUCCA
This 983-nucleotide long non-coding RNA is filed under the name Cricetulus griseus (Chinese hamster). RNAcentral's name for it is "lncRNA (ENSCGRG00015033768.1)". The record is from RNAcentral. Lineage: Eukaryota; Metazoa; Chordata; Mammalia; Rodentia; Cricetidae.